Small nuclear RNA from Zingiber officinale, 193 nucleotides. RefSeq annotates it as U2 spliceosomal RNA. The record is from RefSeq and is a predicted model, not a curated record. Lineage: Eukaryota; Viridiplantae; Streptophyta; Magnoliopsida; Zingiberales; Zingiberaceae. The transcript has a single exon.
AUACCUUUCUCGGCGUUUUGACUAAGAUCAAGUAGUGUCUGUUCUUAUCAGUUUAAUAUUUGAUAUGUGGACCAUUGAUUGACUAUGAUAUUAAAUUAAUUUUUGUUUUGGGGGGAUCAUUAUAGUAGCUUGCUACUAGAUUCUUUGUGUGUCAUCCUUGUGUUGCACUAUUGCAUUGGUCGGCGUACUCAAC